GACGAACGCUGGCGGCGUGCUUAACACAUGCAAGUCGAACGGAAAGGCCCUGCUUGCAGGGUACUCGAGUGGCGAACGGGUGAGUAACACGUGGGUGAUCUGCCCUGCACUUCGGGAUAAGCCUGGGAAACUGGGUCUAAUACCGGAUAGGAGCCAUUUUUAGUGUGAUGGUUGGAAAGUUUUUUCGGUGUAGGAUGAGCUCGCGGCCUAUCAGCUUGUUGGUGGGGUAAUGGCCUACCAAGGCGGCGACGGGUAGCCGGCCUGAGAGGGUGGACGGCCACAUUGGGACUGAGGGACGGCCCAGACUCCUACGGGAGGCAGCAGUGGGGAAUAUUGCACAAUGGGCGCAAGCCUGAUGCAGCGACGCCGCGUGGGGGAUGACGGCCUUCGGGUUGUAAACUCCUUUCGCUAGGGACGAAGCUUUUUGUGACGGUACCUAGAUAAGAAGCACCGGCUAACUACGUG
Molecule: ribosomal RNA, 465 nt
Filed under: uncultured bacterium
Lineage: Bacteria
Description: partial 16S ribosomal RNA
Rfam family: Bacterial small subunit ribosomal RNA
Source: RNAcentral